AGCUCCUGACCCUACACAGGACACCCCAAUAAUCCUACUAGGUGCCUGAGAACGCUGUGAAACUGCUUGUUUGUUCUGAAAUGGGAAUAAAUUAAGAAGUUUUAUGCACUCCUGGCACCAACAGUGACAUAGUAAUUCAAGUAGUAAUUCAAGAAAAAUACUUCCCAUUGGCAAGGAGAUGAGAAUCAUCUGUCUAAACCCACAUAUUUAGUAUAUUCUUUCCUGGGACACCACAAACAGAACAUGAAAAGGGUUUUCUCUUCCAGCUGACAGAUGCAGAGUUCUACCCCGUGUGUGCUUUGAGGUGAAGGAACAUCCUCGUAGCUCACAGAGGAAACCACAAAUCCAUGGCAUCUUCAUUAAGGUUUUGAGGAUUUAACCUUGGAAGUGUCCAUGAGAGGCCAAGGAAAAUAAUGAAUUAACUUAGAUCUUGGAGUCCAGGGAGAGCUGAGCUGGAUUAGGAUUGAUUUAGGAUGGACUCGUGCUGCAGCAAUGGGAAUGGAACAGAUUUAGGGAUGGUGAUUCCACUGCUCCAGUGCCUGACCAACCUUUCCAGGAAGACAUUUUUCCUGAUAUCCAACCUAAACUUCCUCUGGAGCAACCUGAGAAACAGCUGGAAGAACACUGGAUCAAGGCUCUCCAGGAAGACACGUGGAUAUAUCUGAUGCAGACAGAAGAACAAGGGACUGUGAGGGAUUGUCAUUCAGAUCUGCAGUGUCACCAGUCUGAGAGAGAGGAGCCCAACGGGGUGAAAACAAACCUUCAGCUGC
Lepidothrix coronata (blue-crowned manakin) is the source of this 770-nucleotide long non-coding RNA. RefSeq lists it as uncharacterized. The transcript has 6 exons. The record is from RefSeq and is a predicted model, not a curated record. NCBI's taxonomy places the organism in Eukaryota, Metazoa, Chordata, Aves, Passeriformes, Pipridae.